CUCAGUUUGAUUUUAUUUGCAGCUCUGGCAAAAUAAACAUUUUACAUAAAUAUUUGAAAAUAUAUUUGAAAAGAGAAAAGACAAGUUGUUUCAUAUGAAAAAACAAUGAAUCAGUCGACUGGUUGGAAGAGAACAAGACUAAAGGGCAUUGAGAAUGACAAAGAGGAUUAGUCACGUUGGAGGAGAUCACAGUUGUGGGUAGGAGGAGUUGCAUGCCCUGCCCUUGUGUGUGUAACAUUUAUGGAUUCUGUGAGGAAAUUAAUAGGAUAUAUGACAACGUCUUGAAAGCAUGGUGACCAAGAGGAUUUUGCCAAGAGAAACGUUUUCUCAUCCGGGGUAUAUUCACAUCUCAGCCUUGCUCAAACAUCAAGUGACUCUGUAAAUGAGGAUAGCGUGAGAGAAAAAGGAAAUAUAGGAUGAUGAAAGUUGAGAAGAAAUUCUGUUUAGAUGGCUUAGAGAGAAAUGCAUAGUCAGUAAAUCAUUCCAGAUUUAAGGAAUACCGAAUCCGCGUAUUCAGUGAUGGUGGGACUACCAAUGAAGAUAACGUUGUUGUGGCAUGUAAU
Molecule: non-coding RNA, 563 nt
Organism: Chiloscyllium plagiosum (whitespotted bambooshark)
Lineage: Eukaryota; Metazoa; Chordata; Chondrichthyes; Orectolobiformes; Hemiscylliidae
Source: RefSeq, a predicted model, not a curated record